GGCUCAGCCCAGCGGCCUGGCACGGGGAUGGGGCACCUGUGCAGGUGCAGAGGGGAGGUGUGCGGCUGUGCUCCGCGCGUCCGGCACUUAAAAGCAAGAAGGCAGCGUGCCUAACGGGAUGCAUCGACUCGAAACGGGACGUGGUUGUUCUCCCACAUCCGUUUAAUUUUUGUAUUGCUUUGCUCGAAGUUAUUGUCUUCACAUAAGAGCGGUCCUCUGGUGGCUUUUCCCUUCUCGUCGCAGAUCUGGCAGCUCCCGUGAUCUCGAAAUGUCACCACAUGUUCUGAAUUGUGGGGCUCUGAAAUGACUGUGGCUUUGCGUGUAGUCAGUGUUCCAAAUAAGCAUUCAGUCUCAGCAAUACCAAAUAAAACACACGGCUCCCAACUGCACGGAGUGGAUUAAAGAUGAGAAAGCGACCAAUACUUGCGGCUUCUCUGUUCCCACAAUUCUAUUUAUAUUUCUUAAAAGGGAACUUCCAUCUCUCAAUGAGCUAAUACAAGUGCCCCAGUACCGAAAUACAGAGCAACAAAUGAGAAACAAAAGCGAAACCAUAACACAGAGCGCAUCCUAUGCUGUGAAUACCGUGCUGUGAGCUGGAUUUCAUACACUGGAAUAUCCUAUUUCCUUCAUUGGGACUUUCAUUUGCAGUAGGUGAAAUGAAAGAUCUGCAUGAAGCCACACAGGUGUUGUAUCCCACAUAAGUGUCACCAAAUCAGGCACUUCCAUGAGGUUCUACUGCUCUUCUCUAUGUAGGAUCACUUCUUUUAGGGUAAUGCUGCCUGAGGUGUCGCUGGGACUUCCUUUGGAUGAGGACUGCCAGCUGACUCUAUCUUUACAUCUUACCCAACUGGCUGAAGCCAGACUUAAUAUGAGAAGCACCUUAUAGCAGAUUUCAUCUUGAAGAACACAGGUCACUUUGGCAUCUGUCAGCUGGAGGAUAAGAAGUUUUUCUCCCCCACCUCAAAAGGUGAAGGUAAGGCUGGGGUCCCAUAUGAGAUGUGGAAGAAAGGUAUAGGACUCUGUAGCCUAGAUUGCGUGUGUCUGGAGUGCAGUGCCCCUGAAUGUCCCUUUGAAAGGCAGAGGAUGAGCCUGAUGCUGAUACUUCUGUUUGGCUCUUACUGAAGUGGGAAGAUGUUCUCCAUUCAACAGUGAGCUGGGAAUUAAGGUCAGGAUUUUAUAGAUAUCCUAAAUUUCACAUGGUCAAGCUCAGCCCUGACAGCACUCCUCACCAACACCUGACAACUCACAGAGGUAAUCACUGUGCACAGAUUCCAAACCUGCAAUGGUUUCUCUCACCCUGUUGCUCCUUUUCUAUGUUAAGGGAGAGAAGGACAGUUCUGGGCACAUU
Molecule: long non-coding RNA, 1348 nt
Organism: Tympanuchus pallidicinctus (lesser prairie-chicken)
Lineage: Eukaryota; Metazoa; Chordata; Aves; Galliformes; Phasianidae
Exons: 3
Source: RefSeq, a predicted model, not a curated record